GCUGAGCGCGGUGGUGCGUGCCUGUAGUCCCAGCUACUCCGGAGGCUGAGGCGGGAGGAUCGCUUGAGCCCAGGAGUUCUGGGCUGUAGUGCGCUAUGCGGAUUGGUUGUCUGCACUAAGUUCAGCAUCGAUACGGUGACCUCCGGGGAGCGGAGACCUCCGGGGAGCGGGGACCACCAGGUUGCCUAAGGAGGGGUGAACCGGCCCAGGUCGGAAACAGAGCAGGUCAAAACUCCGGUGCUGAUCAGUAGUGGGACUGCGCCUUUGAAUAGCCACUGCACUCCAGCCUGAGCAGCAUAACGAGAUCCUGUCUCUU
Callithrix jacchus (white-tufted-ear marmoset) is the source of this 316-nucleotide unclassified non-coding RNA. It matches the Rfam family "Metazoan signal recognition particle RNA". From Rfam's summary of the family: The signal recognition particle (SRP) is a universally conserved ribonucleoprotein. It is involved in the co-translational targeting of proteins to membranes. The eukaryotic SRP consists of a 300-nucleotide 7S RNA and six proteins: SRPs 72, 68, 54, 19, 14, and 9. The record is from Ensembl. NCBI's taxonomy places the organism in Eukaryota, Metazoa, Chordata, Mammalia, Primates, Cebidae.